Molecule: long non-coding RNA, 2816 nt
Filed under: Homo sapiens (human)
Lineage: Eukaryota; Metazoa; Chordata; Mammalia; Primates; Hominidae
Description: non-protein coding VLDLR-AS1:13
Source: RNAcentral
GAGAACCGAGAGGCGCCUCCUAGGAGGCGGGUGGGCAAACGGAGACCUACGCCUCGGGGUCUCCCGGUGCCCCGGCUGGGUCCCGCCCGCCGGCGGAGGGGCGCGUCCUCACUCACCGGUUCCGGUGGCGCCGCUCUCCCGGGGCGCCCAGCACAGCGCGAGCAGCAGCCAGAGCGCCCAGAGCGCGGACGUGCCCAUGGUGCCCGCCUGGAUGGUGCCGCCGCCGCCGCCGCCGCCGCCGUUCGCUCCGCACGACAAGUUACCAGUCCUUCCGAAAGGAGGAAGAAGGUGGGGGCGGGGAGGGGAAAGGGGGAGAAGGAGGGGAAGGAGUUGGCGGGGGAAGGGAGCGGGGAAGAAGAGGGCACCCCCUCCCCUACAACUUGCACAGUCUCCUCCCCACCCACCCAGCCACCUCCCCGGGCUGCAGCAGCAGUGCAAGCCGAGCCUGCGGGCAGAAAAUAAUGCAGGCGCUGCAGAGGAGGGGAGGCAAGGGGAGAGGAGGGAAGGGAGAGGGGGUGGGGAGCCGAGAGCAGAAGAGAGCACAGAACGGAGAGGAGCCGGUAGCGGAGCACCCGCACCGGCGGCGGCCGGAGAGCGGGGUGAGCAGCGGGGAGGGGGCCGGAGGGGGCGUGGUCAACGGGAGGCGCGGCGGGCGGGCGGGAGCGCGGCGGCUUCGGCCCUCCUUUCCCUCGACGCGCUCCUCUUGCACGCGCCGGGCAGCCGGGUGCCCGCGCGGGGAGCGUGCGAGUGUGAGCGUGCGUGAGUGACCGCGGUCGUGGUCGUGGCUGCCGCCGCCGCCACCCGGACCGCUCUAGGGGCCCGGCUGCUCCGCGCGUUCGCCUGGGGCUCACGGGGGCCCGGGGCGACCGCUGGUUGGCUCGCGCGCCGCCCUCGCCUCCAAUCCCGGGUGCCUGUCCUAAUUUCCUGAUCCAGGGAACCUGCCGCCGCAGCGGCUGUGCGCUCCCUACAGUCAUUACUGUACCCUCCCGGCAGCCUCCGGCAGAACACGCAGCAGCAGCAGCAGUUAGCGCUGAUGCAACUAUCGUUGCUGUUGCCACCGCCUCCCCACUGACGGGGCGUGCACCUGGGGGGUACUUGCAGUUUCCAGGGGCAACAAGCAUCUCUCUACCACCCUCUCCUGCGCCCCUGAGAGAGGCUGGCUCCAAGCUUGAUAUAGAAGACUAUCAUAUGAACCAGAAAGGGUAACUGAAACCAAAGAAAUGACUCCAGUAUCAAGCUAAAGACAUGCCUUAAAGGAUGAGGAGGAGCAGAAAUCUUACCAGCAAGGCAAGAAAGAAGCCGUACGUGAACAGCCUCUGCUUUAGGCCCAGAAGGAAAAGAAGCUUACAGGAGACAAUCAGUCUUACACUCUUCCAUGGUCACAAACAAGAGGUCCCUGGAUCUACAGGGGACUUGGUGCUAUCAGAGGAGGUCAUCAUGUUGGAAAACAAGUUUUUUUAAAAGUAGAAGUCAUAAAGUUGAAGAAUUCAGUGACUUUUGCAGGGAAAGAAGUACCUGAUUUAUGAACAGUCAUUAUCCUGAACUAUUUUGUAGAAAUGAUGUAACUGAUUGAUUUUUAAUAAGCAUUCAAAGUGUUACACAGCAAGUUUUGAUGCUUCCAACUGGACGAUGAGUAUCUAGGCCCACAUGCAAUAUGACUUUGCAACUCAUCCCAUCAGAGGAUGGAAACUAUUUCUUCACCCCCUUGAACCUGGGCUGGCUUUGUAAUUUGUUUUGGCCAAUAGAAUGUGGUGGAAGUGAUGGUGUUACCAGAAAGAGUUCCCAAUCCAGACUCGUGCGAGAAAGAAUUUGAGAAAUGAAAGAACCAGAGCAUUAUAGCAGAACGAAUCCUGGAAUGGGAAUGGAAUGCCUGGAUUUGUGGCACAGUUGGGAAGCGUCCUGGCCAUGCCAUGUUAAAGCUGUCUCCAAGGCAGUGAUUCUUACCCUUGGCUACACAUUGGAGUCAUUUGGGAAGCUAGAAAAAAAAAAUGCCCAGGACCUGGGCAAGACGGCUGAAUAAGAACAGCUCUGGUCUGCAGUUCCUAGCAAGAUCAACGCAGAAGGGAAGCUGGCAGCCUGGGCUCUUGGAGAUUGUAUCUGGUGCCGGAGAGGACUGGCUCCCACACUCAGUGAGGGAGGAAUUUUACUGACCCAGCAUCCAGAUGAACUUUGGUGAGGAGAGGAGGACAUAAGAGCCUGGUGGUUGAUGAUGGAAGAGAUGAAACUGUGAAGAGACCGAAGAAGCUAAUCUAUCAAUAGUUAAGAUUCCAUUUCUAAAAGAUCUUACUUUGAGUCUACCUAUGCCUGGGAUGUCAAGAGGUGCUGAGGAUUGAUUGGUGAAGACAGAGAGGGUCUUGGUUCUAACUGAGCUCACAUUCUAAAAGAGAAAAUAGAAAAUAAACACGAAAAACGAAUGGGAUCACUUCAGAAAUUGAAAAGGUCUAUAAGAAAAACAAAACAGGGUGUGUGAUAGAGGGUUGGGGAGGCUGUGACCAUGGAAGGCCUAAGAAAGUGAUAUUUGAAAUGAAACUUGAGUUGCAGAAGGGAGCCAGCUGUGCAAGGCUGAGGACCAAAUAUUUCAGGAGGGAACGGCCAAGGCAGAAAUGAGCAUGGCCUGCUGGAGACCGAGAAUGAACUGUUAGUGGGUUCCCACUGCACAGGGCCUGGGGAGGCUACCCAUGCUCAUCUCAUGGUAAUGUGCCAGCAACUCAGCCUACUGGCAUCAUGAUGAAUCUCCGGGCUGCUAACUGGGCUUCAUGUUGCAUAGGUGAACUGUCCCGCCACCUGCUUGAGGCUGGCAGAGCCCAGGGGGUGAG